RNAcentral lists this ribosomal RNA (482 nucleotides) under uncultured bacterium. RNAcentral describes it as "partial 16S ribosomal RNA". It matches the Rfam family "Bacterial small subunit ribosomal RNA", at positions 30 to 507 of the family's 1533-position model. The record is from RNAcentral.
AUUGAACGCUGGCGGCAUGCUUUACACAUGCAAGUCGAACGGUAACAGGCCGCAAGGUGCUGACGAGUGGCGCACGGGUGAGUAAUGCAUCGGAACGUGCCCAGUCGUGGGGGAUAACUACUCGAAAGAGUAGCUAAUACCGCAUACGAUCUAUGGAUGAAAGCGGGGGACCGUAAGGCCUCGCGCGAUUGGAGCGGCCGAUGUCAGAUUAGGUAGUUGGUGGGGUAAAGGCUCACCAAGCCAACGAUCUGUAGCUGGUCUGAGAGGACGACCAGCCACACUGGGACUGAGACACGGCCCAGACUCCUACGGGAGGCAGCAGUGGGGAAUUUUGGACAAUGGGCGCAAGCCUGAUCCAGCAAUGCCGCGUGCAGGAAGAAGGCCUUCGGGUUGUAAACUGCUUCUGUACGGAACGAAACGGCUCUGGUUAAUACCCGGGGCUAAUGACGGUACCGUAAGAAUAAGCACCGGCUAACUACGUG